ACUCAGGGCUAUGACGUUUGAGGAUUUACCCGAAUGUGAACUAAAUCACUUCAAAGACGGGGUAAGUCUCAGUAUCAUCAUGAGAGUUAAACCCUCGCCG
Molecule: small RNA, 100 nt
Filed under: Salmonella enterica subsp. enterica serovar Typhimurium str. SL1344
Lineage: Bacteria; Pseudomonadati; Pseudomonadota; Gammaproteobacteria; Enterobacterales; Enterobacteriaceae
Description: sRNA10
Rfam family: Enterobacteria rnk leader (bases 18-100)
Source: RNAcentral